RNAcentral lists this ribosomal RNA (422 nucleotides) under uncultured Chitinophaga sp. Its description in RNAcentral is "bacterial SSU rRNA". It matches the Rfam family "Bacterial small subunit ribosomal RNA", at positions 355 to 774 of the family's 1533-position model. Lineage: Bacteria; Pseudomonadati; Bacteroidota; Chitinophagia; Chitinophagales; Chitinophagaceae. The record is from RNAcentral.
UAAGGAAUAUUGGUCAAUGGACGCAAGUCUGAACCAGCCAUGCCGCGUGGAGGAUGAAGGCCCUCUGGGUUGUAAACUUCUUUUAUCUGGGACGAAACACUUCUUUUCUAAGGAGCUUGACGGUACCAGGUGAAUAAGCACCGGCUAACUCCGUGCCAGCAGCCGCGGUAAUACGGAGGGUGCAAGCGUUAUCCGGAUUCACUGGGUUUAAAGGGUGCGUAGGCGGACAUGUAAGUCCGUGGUGAAAUCUCAGGGCUUAACCCUGAAACUGCCAUGGAUACUAUAUGUCUUGAAUGUUGUGGAGGUUAGCGGAAUAUGUCAUGUAGCGGUGAAAUGCAUAGAUAUGACAUAGAACACCAAUUGCGAAGGCAGCUGGCUACACAAAUAUUGACGCUGAGGCACGAAAGCGUGGGGAUCAAACA